AAAUCCGUCGAAUUAGAAAUCGCGGGGGUCAAGUCCCUCUAUCCCCA
RNAcentral lists this transfer RNA (47 nucleotides) under Zygostates grandiflora. RNAcentral's name for it is "partial tRNA-Leu". Lineage: Eukaryota; Viridiplantae; Streptophyta; Magnoliopsida; Asparagales; Orchidaceae. The record is from RNAcentral.